Aegilops tauschii subsp. strangulata is the source of this 1044-nucleotide non-coding RNA. The record is from RefSeq and is a predicted model, not a curated record. NCBI's taxonomy places the organism in Eukaryota, Viridiplantae, Streptophyta, Magnoliopsida, Poales, Poaceae.
UUGGGCCUACGAGCGACCGGUCCAUCCGCUCGCGAAUCCAGUCCUGUUUAUCUACUCGUCCAAUCCCGAUCCGAUCGAGCCUGAGGGGAACGAGGCCGCCGGUCGAUCCCAGCGACCGGAGGAGAGGAGCAGUCGGUUCCAUCCAUUGAAGAUGGGGUGAGGGAUGGAAUCGAGUCCAUCCGGUUGAUCCCAGCGACCGAGGAGCAGAAUCCGGGGUCGGGGCAAUCCAAUCCAGCGCGUGCCAGAUUCAGGACGACUCGCCUGCUUGAAACCGCUCUUCUCUCCUUCAAGCUAGCAAUCAUGGCCCUCCUCUACUGGAAACUGCUCUGCCCUCCUUGAAUCUCACAAUCAUGGCGUAUUAUUCAUUCAUGGCUGGCAAAAUCACAAACCUUCCUUAUGCCCAGUGGUACUAUAUAAUGUUUCCCUCCCUAGCUGCGUAUGCUCACCCUACUCCAGCAUCUACAUUCGAGCUGCGGCACGCCAGGAUGGCGGUGGCGGCUCGGGCUCGCCCACGAAGCGUGACACGAAGGCCGCCUUCGCCUCCUCUCCCUUCCUCGCCUCCCCACGGGGCGGCGGCGAUGGCGGCAAGGACGGCUUGCUGCGCUCGUCCCCUCCGCUCCACCAGAGAAGCCAGGAUGCACUGCUGGUGGAGAGAAGUGCAAAUGCGGCGGCAGCAACACCUUCACCGGACAAAAAGAAAGCUGGGAGGACAGGAAAAAUGCAGACGGUAGAAACUACUGCUGAUGACACGGAAGGAACCUCUAAAGCUGCUGAUAGCAAGAGGACGGGGCCUUCUGAAUCAGCUGAUGGUGCAUCGCAUUAUCUUGGAGAUGCCUACUUAUCUCCAACAUUUUCAGGGUUUUGAUCUGAGUUGGACGGGACGAGAAGCAAAUUUUGCUGCUCAUACAUGUGCUAAAGAGCUCUAGGUUUACAGUCAGACUUUGUUUCUCUCUUUGUAAUCCCUAAAUUUCUGAUUGACAUUCUGCAAUCAGCUAUGAUCCAUUAAGAUGAAUAAAAUGAAGAGGGCGGUUCUAAAAAAAAAAA